Molecule: ribosomal RNA, 253 nt
Filed under: uncultured bacterium
Lineage: Bacteria
Description: partial 16S ribosomal RNA
Rfam family: Bacterial small subunit ribosomal RNA
Source: RNAcentral
UACGUAGGGUGCGAGCGUUGUCCGGAAUUAUUGGGCGUAAAGAGCUCGUAGGCGGUCUGUCGCGUCGGAUGUGAAAACCCAGGGCUUAACCCUGGGCCUGCAUUCGAUACGGGCAGACUAGAGUCCGGUAGGGGAGCGUGGAAUUCCUGGUGUAGCGGUGAAAUGCGCAGAUAUCAGGAGGAACACCAGCGGCGAAGGCGGCGCUCUGGGCCGGUACUGACGCUGAGGAGCGAAAGCGUGGGGAGCAAACAGG